RNAcentral lists this ribosomal RNA (315 nucleotides) under Triticum aestivum (bread wheat). Its description in RNAcentral is "partial small subunit ribosomal RNA". The record is from RNAcentral. Lineage: Eukaryota; Viridiplantae; Streptophyta; Magnoliopsida; Poales; Poaceae.
AUGCUGCCGUCGCCAUGGCCGCGACCACCGUGCUCCCCGCACCGCGAGAAGACGCCCAGAAGGACUGCCACGGUCCACUUCGUCCAUCCCGAGGACCGAAUCGAGCGGGGAAGGCCCGUACACUCGCCAUCGCCACCAUCUUCAUCUUGUACAUCGCCGCGGCCUCGACGUCGAUCCGCAUCACCUCGUCCAUCCCGGCCUCGUACGAGCUCACCACCAACCUCCUCUCAACCCCGUGACGAUGCUGAUGCCCCUGUGAUCGACUACGUCACCGACGACCCCUCCUUCUCGCCUGAGCAACCAGGAGCCAGAUGA